This is a non-coding RNA of Cricetulus griseus (Chinese hamster), 1168 nucleotides long. Lineage: Eukaryota; Metazoa; Chordata; Mammalia; Rodentia; Cricetidae. The record is from RefSeq and is a predicted model, not a curated record.
GGAAGGAGCUGAACCAGCCAGCAUUGCACACUCUACACUGUGACAACCCAGUGCAGACAGCUGGAGCUCUGGAGUGACUGGGGAAGGCGAUCCCUGCCACCAUGAUGUUGGGGUCCAGAGUACAGGACACCUGGGUAACAUCACUGGCAUGGCACCUGACACCAAUGAGAAAACUGAGCCUGGAGAUGUUGAGAUACUUGCUGAAACCCAUAGUGAACCAGGGCAUGUGGGGCAGGAAUUCGAGUUACUGCUGGGAGCCUGUACCAGUUCCUGGACCCCCUGUAUCCCCUCAGAGCCAUCCUUGAGGAGCAGGAGACACUCAACUGAGUUUCAGCUCCUGAUGCCUGGCUCACCCUCUAGGGAGAAGUCCUUAUAAUGAUGUGAUCAGAAUGGAAAGUGUCAUGGAUUGAAGGAGGGAAACAGGCUGCAAAUCGAAACCAAGCCAAGCCUGAGGUGAAAUGGGAGUCGACAGCAUUCUGGCUGUAGCUGUCUCGUCUGGCAUACCUGGGAGGAAUAGAGUCCCCCAAGCCCCGGUCCUCCAAGUCUAUUUGGACCAUUUGUGCCAUAGCUAUCUGUAUGAAGUCUGGGUCAUCUACCCAUCAACAAAGACAUGUAACUACGGACAACUUUCUGGCACAAGUUAGGAAAUGCAAGGAGGGAUAGGUGGUUUGGUUGGCAGCAAUCACUGUGGACUGAAAGAUUCCAUGACCUCACUCUUCAAGAAAUGUAAGUCUGGUGCAGAGAAUCCCACAGGUGGCAGCAUCACUGAGCGGGAAGAGCAUUGAAGCUGACAGGAAUUUAUCCAUAGACGCCCCAAAGCCCAGGUGUGCGGCAGGAGCCUUAGAGCCCAGCCACCUCAGAUCCCAGCCCUCAACAUCCAAGCUGCAGGUUUCACCCUCUUCAGAUGUAGCCCUUGCUUCUAGAUCAGGAGCUGGCUUGAGGACUUUCACUGUCAAAGAAGCACAGUUCCUGUGCCCAGGCUAGUUCCUUAAGGCUGGAUGGUGGGGCUAAAGAAGGGUGGAGUAUUCGCUAUCUUUCAUUUCAGCCUGAAGAGAAAGGGAGAGAUUCCCACCUUCUUUUUUUGUUUGUUUGUUUGUUUGUUUGUUUUGUUUUGUUUUUUUGUUUGUUUUUUCGAGACAGGGUUUCUCUGUGUAGCUUUGGAGCCUAU